GGGAAAUGUAGUGGUUUGGAGGCAGGUGCUUUACCACCAGAACAAAAUUGGCGUCUGUCAGUGAAGGAUAAAGGGGAACAUGGAGGGGACUAGCAGUGAAUGCCAAGACUGUGUGCAUCUCACUCAGGCCAUCCAGACAGUUCUCUCCUUUCUACAGUGUUCCUUCACCUAAAGAAGAAGGAGGAGGAGGAAGGAGAAGUAGGAGGAAGAUGAAAGAAGUUUGAGAAAGUGUUACAGAAAUGCUCAACCAUCUGUACCUAUUUUCUCAAAAUAUUUUAAUCUGAUGACUUCACCUCCACAUUUAUUUCUGGACACAGGAUAAUCAUUUCAUCAGAAUUCUACAGCAAGACACACAAUGUG
This 360-nucleotide long non-coding RNA is filed under the name Homo sapiens (human). RNAcentral's name for it is "HSALNT0102344". Lineage: Eukaryota; Metazoa; Chordata; Mammalia; Primates; Hominidae. The record is from RNAcentral.